GAUGAACGCUGGCGGCGUGCCUAAUACAUGCAAGUCGAGCGAACGGACGAGAAGCUUGCUUCUCUGAUGUUAGCGGCGGACGGGUGAGUAACACGUGGAUAACCUACCUAUAAGACUGGGAUAACUUCGGGAAACCGGAGCUAAUACCGGAUAAUAUUUUGAACCGCAUGGUUCAAAAGUGAAAGACGGUCUUGCUGUCACUUAUAGAUGGAUCCGCGCUGCAUUAGCUAGUUGGUAAGGUAACGGCUUACCAAGGCAACGAUGCAUAGCCGACCUGAGAGGGUGAUCGGCCACACUGGAACUGAGACACGGUCCAGACUCCUACGGGAGGCAGCAGUAGGGAAUCUUCCGCAAUGGGCGAAAGCCUGACGGAGCAACGCCGCGUGAGUGAUGAAGGUCUUCGGAUCGUAAAACUCUGUUAUUAGGGAAGAACAUAUGUGUAAGUAACUGUGCACAUCUUGACGGUACCUAAUCAGAAAGCCACGGCUAACUACGUGCCAGCAGCCGCGGUAAUACGUAGGUGGCAAGCGUUAUCCGGAAUUAUUGGGCGUAAAGCGCGCGUAGGCGGUUUUUUAAGUCUGAUGUGAAAGCCCACGGCUCAACUGUGGAGGGUCAUUGGAAACUGGAAAACUUGAGUGCAGAAGAGGAAAGUGGAACUCCAUGUGUAGCGGUGAAAUGCGCAGAGAUAUGGAGGAACACCAGUGGCGAAGGCGACUUUCUGGUCUGUAACUGACGCUGAUGUGCGAAAGCGUGGGGAUCAAACAGGAUUAGAUACCCUGGUAGUCCACGCCGUAAACGAUGAGUGCUAAGUGUUAGGGGGUUUCCGCCCCUUAGUGCUGCAGCUAACGCAUUAAGCACUCCGCCUGGGGAGUACGACCGCAAGGUUGAAACUCAAAGGAAUUGACGGGGACCCGCACAAGCGGUGGAGCAUGUGGUUUAAUUCGAAGCAACGCGAAGAACCUUACCAAAUCUUGACAUCCUUUGACAACUCUAGAGAUAGAGCUUUCCCCUUCGGGGGACAAAGUGACAGGUGGUGCAUGGUUGUCGUCAGCUCGUGUCGUGAGAUGUUGGGUUAAGUCCCGCAACGAGCGCAACCCUUAAGCUUAGUUGCCAUCAUUAAGUUGGGCACUCUAAGUUGACUGCCGGUGACAAACCGGAGGAAGGUGGGGAUGACGUCAAAUCAUCAUGCCCCUUAUGAUUUGGGCUACACACGUGCUACAAUGGACAAUACAAGGGGCAGCGAAACCGCGAGGUCAAGCAAAUCCCAUAAAGUUGUUCUCAGUUCGGAUUGUAGUCUGCAACUCGACUACAUGAAGCUGGAAUCGCUAGUAAUCGUAGAUCAGCAUGCUACGGUGAAUACGUUCCCGGGUCU
RNAcentral lists this ribosomal RNA (1372 nucleotides) under uncultured bacterium. RNAcentral's name for it is "bacterial SSU rRNA". It matches the Rfam family "Bacterial small subunit ribosomal RNA", at positions 28 to 1381 of the family's 1533-position model. The record is from RNAcentral.